CUUCCCUCCUUCCCUCCCUUCUCCCCAUCCCCAUCCACGGAUCCAUCCUAUGGACCCCAUCCUAUGUGUCCCUGAAGACCCCCGAGUGGCAUAGCAUUCGUUUGCAUGUGUGUGGCAUUGGCAGGGGAGUCUGGGCAGGGGGUGGUCAGUGCAAUGACUUGGGCCUGAAAGAAUGAGGUUUUGGUGGUGAGCUCUUCCCCUGUGGAGCUGAAUGUGCAGCCGUGUGUUUUGUUCACGGCUUCCUGCGUCUGCCCUCUAGAGGCCCACAGAAGCCUCGCACCUCCCCAGCCCGGCGUCUGCGGGUGAAUUGUCUGAGCAGGAGCACAACAGCUUAAGCUUCAUGUUCUCCGGGCCCAGGUGAAAUACUCUCACCCCCUCUGAUGGCCACUUUCCAAUCCUGUUAUCCGCCCCCAGUCUUGUGAUCUGUCCCACAGCAAACACUCCUUCCAGGUGUGAGUUGUGCCAAGGAACACUGUUUCGUUGUCACACAUAGUACUUAGACGCAGUGAGUGAAGAGACACUUGGUCCCGGGCCCCCUUCUCUGCACACACUGCCCUGUGUGCUACAGCAUGCCAGGCAGGGUGCCAGGACAGCAGGCCCGUGAAGACCAUGGCGGCGGCUGUCUGAAGACCAGCUCACAGCAGGAGCUGCGCUGAGAUCUUCUCCUGGGUGCUCAUGCUGGGGCCCGAGGUCGUAUGGAAAAGGCUUGUCCCCCUUGCUGGAUGUCACAAGGCUCAGCCACGUGGAUAGAAGCUGCUUGGAUGACCACAUUAAGUGAAUGGCCGCAUCUGUGCACUGGCUCUGCAGCCCUGGGCAGCGACACAGAGACAGCAAGCAGAGCAUCCAUCACCAGGAUUCUCAGAGUCUCGCCCUGUCACCAGGCUGGAGUGCAGUGGCAUGAACUCAGCUCACUGCAACCUCCACCUCCCGGGUUCCAGCGAUUCUCCUGCCUCAGCCUCCCGAGUAGCUGGGAUUACAGAUGUGCACCACCACGUCCAGCUAAUCUUUGUAUUUUUAGUAGAGAUGGGAUUUCACCAUGUUGGCCAGGCUGGUCUCAAAAUCCUGACCUCAAGCAAUCCACCUGCCUCGGCCUCCCAAAGUGCUGGGAUUACAGGCGUGAGCCACUGUGCCCAGCCUGUCCUCUCACUCUUGAAUUCCUUCCUGCAUGACACUAAGAACCCAUGUGACCUCCCGGGAUGAGCCCCGAUUUGGGGGUUCACCUGUGAUAAAGUAAGCUGGUGAACAGCAGGGAAGCACUCUGUGUCUGUAGCUUCCUGUGAGUAUGCAAUCAUUUCAAAAUUAAAAGUUUGUUAAAGCUAUAAAAAUUAUAAAAUAAAUUAAUAAAAAUCAUUGUCUCAAUCUUCACAACAA
Molecule: long non-coding RNA, 1371 nt
Filed under: Homo sapiens (human)
Lineage: Eukaryota; Metazoa; Chordata; Mammalia; Primates; Hominidae
Description: HSALNT0299846
Source: RNAcentral